AUACGAAGGGUGCAAGCGUUACUCGGAAUUAUUGGGCGUAAAGGGCGCGUAGGCGGCCUGACAAGUCAAAGGUGAAAUCCCUCGGCCUAACCGAGGAACUGCCUUUGAAACUGCCAGGCUUGAGGCCGGGAGAGGGUAGUGGAAUUCCCAGUGUAGCGGUGAAAUGCGUAGAUAUUGGGAGGAACACCAGUGGCGAAGGCGAUUACCUGGACCGGUACUGACGCUGAGGCGCGAAAGCGUGGGGAGCAAACAGGAUUAGAAACCCCAGUAGUCC
This 274-nucleotide ribosomal RNA is filed under the name uncultured bacterium. Its description in RNAcentral is "partial 16S ribosomal RNA". It matches the Rfam family "Bacterial small subunit ribosomal RNA", at positions 523 to 796 of the family's 1533-position model. The record is from RNAcentral.